RNAcentral lists this ribosomal RNA (434 nucleotides) under uncultured bacterium. RNAcentral describes it as "partial 16S ribosomal RNA". It matches the Rfam family "Bacterial small subunit ribosomal RNA", at positions 29 to 507 of the family's 1533-position model. The record is from RNAcentral.
AGCGAACGCUGGCGGCAGGCCUAACACAUGCAAGUCGAACGAACCUUUCGGGGUUAGUGGCGGACGGGUGAGUAACACGUGGGAACGUGCCUUUAGGUUCGGAAUAACUCAGGGAAACUUGUGCUAAUACCGAAUGUGCCCUUCGGGGGAAAGAUUUAUCGCCGUUAGAGCGGCCCGCGUCUGUUUAGCUAGUUGGUUGAGGUAAUGGCUCACCAAGGCGACGAUCAGUAGCUGGUCUGAGAGGAUGAUCAGCCACAUUGGGACUGAGACACGGCCCAAACUCCGACGGGAUGCAGCAGUGGGGUAUCUUGCGCAAUGGGCGAAAGCCUGACGUAGCCAUGCCGCGUGAAUGAUGAAGGUCGUAGGAUUGUGAUAUUCUUUCAGCGGAGACGAUAAUGACGGUACCCGGAGAAGAAGCCCCGGCUAACUUCGUG